This 568-nucleotide long non-coding RNA is filed under the name Cyanistes caeruleus (blue tit). RNAcentral's name for it is "lncRNA (ENSCCEG00000014824.1)". Lineage: Eukaryota; Metazoa; Chordata; Aves; Passeriformes; Paridae. The record is from RNAcentral.
UAUCUUGUUUUGAAGUGGUCCUUUCUUGGUUAUCACAGGUUGAAGAAGGUUUCUCUAGUGAUUCCUGUCUCCAAGAAGAAAAAUUAUUUAGUCAGAGGGGAAGAGAAAACUGAGUUAUCAUAGUCAUAAUGGAUGAAGAACUGUCUUAGCCUUACAAGACAAUAGACUUAGGAGAAGAGAUCUGAAAAGAGAAGGGAAGGAGAUUUCACCUUAGUCAGCAUCCUCAAAACAGAUAUCGAUUCAGCAAUUUCUCCAAGCAAAGCCAGCCAUGGAAACUGAAAAUGUUAAUGUGCCAGGUCUGCCUCUCGUCAACCACAUCACUGAAGCAAGCACUGAUUUUCAGAGAGGAAGAUGUUCUAACAUGCUGCCUUUUCUCGUCUGCUGAACUGCAUUUUCAAGACAUGAAAAGUGGAAGAAUGUCAUGAAGACACGAAAAUCUGAUGCAAUUGUAAUUGAAAGACAGCAUAGCUCAAAAGGAAAGGUAAGGGUAAAUAUGUUGCCUAGGAUUAAAAAGAAAAAGAUACAGUUAUAGGUGGUCUCAUCAGCCUGAUUUAUCAAGGUUCUCAAG